CUUCUUUCAAACGUCAAUAAACAUCUGCAUUUCCAUAACAUUCUUUUUACAAGUGCAAUGCAACAAUUUAACAAAUAAACAUUUUGAUUUCUUACACUCAAAUCUACUUGGUAUUUCACAUUAAACCAAUCUAUUUUUGUCUUCCAAAUUUUAGAUACCCAGGACCAAGCGGACCUUGCAAUAUUACAUUCAAAAAACACGUGAAUAAUGGAUUCCACACCACCACACCUCAUACAACGUUCAUCUCUAACCCUAUGGUAAAGACGUUUAAUUCCUUCCAAUAUCUCUUCUUGCAAAUACUCCUUGGUCUGUGAGUCUCUAAAUAAAUUCCUCUUCUGUCGAUGGUACUGAUGUCACAUCCAUUAACUCGUCCGAGCCGAUUACUACCGCACUGGAACGUCGACGGAGACUACGAUUAGUCGACCCAUCGCGGAUGGAAGGAGACCUUCCCCUACCACCUAGGGCCUCCACAGAAGCAUUUUCCACGCUCGUCGAUGGGGUGGGCUCCCCCAUCCACCAGCUUCGGCUAUCAGCCGAAAAAUCAAAAGUAAAUGAAUAAAAGGUCGGUAAAUCUUAAACAA
Molecule: long non-coding RNA, 581 nt
Organism: Centruroides sculpturatus (bark scorpion)
Lineage: Eukaryota; Metazoa; Arthropoda; Arachnida; Scorpiones; Buthidae
Exons: 3
Source: RefSeq, a predicted model, not a curated record